This is a long non-coding RNA of Episyrphus balteatus (marmalade hoverfly), 2293 nucleotides long. RefSeq lists it as uncharacterized. The transcript is spliced from 2 exons. The record is from RefSeq and is a predicted model, not a curated record. Lineage: Eukaryota; Metazoa; Arthropoda; Insecta; Diptera; Syrphidae.
UCAUUUACAAGAUACACUUUGAUUUGAAAAUUUCCAAUGCGAGUUACAACAAAAAUGCUAUUUUAUAAUACAAAAAAAGUUUGUUUACAUCUUCACUAGCCCAGAACUAACAUUCAGUGGAAGUUACUCACAAGAAAGAUUUUGUUUUUUUUUUCGCAUGAGUCUUGGACACUGAUCUGUCUUGGAACAUUUUUGAACUUCCGCAGAUGAUUACUUCAAAAGUAUGAUUCACCAAAUUCUGAAAUUUGGAACAUUUAUUCAGAAAAAGACCACAAGCAUUUUGGUACAUAAUUCAUAAUUUGGUGAAUCUUAAUUCAAGAGUUACAUGCGAUUUUCUUUUUUUCGCGUGCGUCUUGGAACAUUUUUGAACUUCCGCAGAUGAUUACUUCAAAAGUAUGAUUCACCAAAUUCUGAAAUUUGGAACAUUUAUUCAGAAAAAGACCACAAGCAUUUUGGUACAUAAUUCUUAAUUUGGUGAAUCUUAAUUCAAGAGUUACAUGCGAUUUUGUCUUGGAACACGAUACAUGUGUCCAAAGGUAUACAAAUAGCUGUGUUCCUUUGGCCUUAAGUAUCUACUGCUAAGUACUUUUGGUUGUAAACAACUCCAUUUCUUCUAUAGAAAAAAUAGCCGUUUUUUAUUAUCACUUGAUCCAUAUAGAUCAUUAAUUAAAAUGUAUUACAACAACUACAUGAGAUCUUGCAAGAUCGCGAUUCGUGAUCCUGAUGAAAAGCAAGAUCACGAUACGUGAUCCUGAUGAUGGAAUUGUUCAAAAUUGUUUACAAUGUCUUUCUACUGGUAGCAAAUAACGUUUGAGCAGAAUAAUUAGCAAUAUAAAAAUUGUUUUUGGUUGAAAAAUGACUAAAAACAGUGGAAAAUUCUCAAAAUAAUUGAAAAAAUUUUCAAAAAAAAUUUUGUUCGAAGUCGUACCGACAAAUCGAAAAACUAAUGACACCAAUCGAUUUCUCAGGUCCGAAAUAGGGCGAAACAGUUAAUCGCGCACCUGUCUCAAAAAUUUUUUUCAAAAAACUUGCACAGUGUUAUUUAAUAGCCUGUUUUCACUACAGCCCAAAUGAGAUGAUUUCGCAAAUUACACAAAAAGUUUUUUCACUGCAAAUUAUCUCAUUUCGACUGUCAAGUGUCAACGCUUUGAAAUGAUUGAAAAAAUUAGUUUGACACUAAAAAUAAAAUAAAAUCAAAUUUUUUCAAAAUAAUAAAGAAGACUUAAAGUAUGAAAUGCCUCUAUAUUUACUUCGUUAUAAUAACUGGUCCAUUUAACCAAAUGAAUUAACCCAAAGAAGUUCUGAGGUUUGUAAUUUCUCUAUAUCUACCCUAUAUAAAUAAUAUUCAGCUUCCAGCCUUUUUUUCUUCCUUAUUCGGAGGAUUAACGAUCUUUGUGUUGAAGGGAUAGAGAACUCAUUACCUAGAGACCAGACAUUGGAACAUAAAAGUGCACCUUGGAUGCUUUUGGUAUUUGUGGCAUUAUACCCAACUGUGGAUUUGAAGGAUUUUAAUACAAAAAUGUAUUUUUUUAGUAAAUUGUAUUUAAAAACUUAAAAAGUACAAAUCAUUCAAUAAAGUGGGCAACUUCCCGCGAUUGGGGUACCAGUCCAGUCCCUAGAGGUUACAUAUACGUACUUCAUGAUCGAAGAGAUCAUGAUUCCUCACGUACAUUAUUUUCUUCACCCUAUUGUAGAAUGCAGAUACGCCUGGCAUGUGAGACUCGCUGGAAUGUCAUCAGAAAGCGGCAGAAAGCUUCCCUUUUUAUUCGAUUCUCCAGGGCUACCCAUACAAUUUGGCGAAAAGAAUUUACACAUUCCAAUUUAAACAAGAAUCAUAAAUUAAUAUUUAUUUGCAUUGAAUUUUCUAGACUUAUUUACAUUCAACAUUAAUAAUGCCGACGACCCAUAUUAAACAAAAAUGCAUUUUUGUAAUUUGAUAGAGCCUAAUCACAAAACACGAAACAAUUCAAAGUAUGGAAUCCCUUCUUGCUGUUCCUUGAAGGCAGAGGAUGAUGAAGAAAGUCAGAGAUUAAUGAUAGCCACCCUGAAAGUCACACUUAAUUUUUCGAAUUGUCCGAUUUAUUGGCAUAAUUUCUCUUGCCCAUAACAGGAGGAUGCCUUCUGUCGAGGAGGGUUGGGGCCCACUGCAGAAAUGAACGAAAUAAUGACUAUCGUGGAGGUUAGAAUCGAUUGUUCAAAUUUUUUCAAGAAUUCCAGAGUCCUUAUUAGGAGGCCACAUUUACGGUUAUUACGGUUGUUUCAAAUAUAGUUCUGUCGACCGCCCCAUAAUAAC